Molecule: small RNA, 111 nt
Filed under: Salmonella enterica subsp. enterica serovar Heidelberg
Lineage: Bacteria; Pseudomonadati; Pseudomonadota; Gammaproteobacteria; Enterobacterales; Enterobacteriaceae
Also listed under: 8 other names
Description: partial RtT sRNA
Rfam family: RtT RNA
About the family: This family represents a bacterial cis-regulatory element known as RtT RNA. The exact function of RtT is unknown although it is thought that it may be involved in changing the cellular response in relation to amino acid starvation.
Source: RNAcentral
GAUGAGAAGCUUCGACUAAGGUUCGAUUCGAGCGCAGCGAGAAAGCGUUGCCGCAGGCAACGACCCGAAGGGCGAAGCGCGCAGCGCUGAGUCAUCCUUCCCCCACCACCA